Molecule: ribosomal RNA, 307 nt
Filed under: uncultured eukaryote
Lineage: Eukaryota
Description: partial 18S ribosomal RNA
Rfam family: Eukaryotic small subunit ribosomal RNA
Source: RNAcentral
CCCUUAGACGUUCUGGGCCGCACGCGCGCUACACUGACGAAGGCAACGAGCUUUCCUUUACCGAAAGGUACGGGUAAUCUUUUGAAACUUCGUCGUGCUGGGGAUAGAUCCUUGCAAUUUUUGAUCUUAAACGAGGAAUGCCUAGUAAGCGCAAGUCAUCAACUUGCGUUGAUUACGUCCCUGCCCUUUGUACACACCGCCCGUCGCUACUACCGAUUGAAUGGUUUAGUGAGGCCUUCGGAUCCGCGACUCGUUUGUGGAGAAGUUGGACAAACUCAGUCAUUUAGAGGAGGUAAAAGUCGUAACA